CUAUAAACCACAAAUAUUCAAUGACAAGUUUAUUCCCUAGAAAUCAACAAUCUCCUUGACAAUUGCAAAUGCUUCUUUAUCAUGUAAUUACACAACCCAAUCUUCUUCCAACUCAAUCACAAGUUUCACUAUUUGGAAGACUUUAAAAGUGAAAAUCAAAAUCAUCAAGGAAAUAUUUUGGCAUCCUCCUAUCAUUAACUGGGUAAAGUGUAAUAGUGAUGGAGGUUCAAAUGGAAACCCUGGUUUGGCAUCCUAUGGAGGUGUUUUCAGAAGUCAUGAUACAGAUUUUCUAGGUUGCAUUGAUGACCCUUCAGGCUUAACAUCCUCUUAUCAAGCUAAAUUUAUUGGUGUUAUAAUAACAAUGGAAAUUGCUUAUGAUAACCAUUGGAAUUUUUUUUCUUCAAGAAACUAAUUCAAUUCUGGUUGUUAAGGCUUUUAAGGAUUCCUCUUAUAUUGCUUGGUGCUUAAGAAAGAGAUGGACAAAUAUGAAAGAUCAUUCUCAGAGAAAUGAAUUACAUUGUUACACACAUCUAUAAGAUCAUUAAAAGAUCAAGAUGUGGAAGAGUUUCAACAUCUGAUAUGAUCUUUUGAAUUUAUUAAGAAGAUUUGCA
RNAcentral lists this long non-coding RNA (611 nucleotides) under Medicago truncatula (barrel medic). Its description in RNAcentral is "lncRNA gene31455". The record is from RNAcentral. Lineage: Eukaryota; Viridiplantae; Streptophyta; Magnoliopsida; Fabales; Fabaceae.